Long non-coding RNA from Haliotis rubra (blacklip abalone), 1102 nucleotides. RefSeq lists it as uncharacterized. The record is from RefSeq and is a predicted model, not a curated record. The transcript is spliced from 2 exons. NCBI's taxonomy places the organism in Eukaryota, Metazoa, Mollusca, Gastropoda, Lepetellida, Haliotidae.
UACAAGAUCACGGGAGGUAACGCUCAACCGGGCCUCGCCUAAUGUUGUGCAGCCUUGCAUAUAUGCAUAGUACAUCGAUCUGGCAUGCAUCAUGUCGGGACCUGUUACACCCACAGUUGCAUUUCCGAGGAACGAUUGUAAUUUCGGGGAAACGCGGUUAUCGGGAACAGUGUCGACUGCUCGGCUUGUAAACUAUUCGAAGGACCUCAGCAAUUGCCACACAGAGAAGAGAUUAUCCGACAAAUUUAGGCUUUCUUGGAGCAUUCGUGAAAGUUUCCAAUGCGAAAAUGCCCCCAGAAAUCCUAAACUAAGUUGGUAAUAUUCAGCAGAGCGGAGAAUUGGAGACUCUUCAAGGGAGACUCUUCAAGGGAGCUUGGGACCUAUUUGGCACAGUUUGCGUUAAGGACUUGGAGUGCGGACGUUUCCCACGUUGUUUGGUUUCACGUGUGCGUCCUAUCCCAUGACCGUGGUGUGAUUACAUGAAUGUGCAGCUUUCAAAAGGAAGUAUUUAGUUUAAACAAUGAAACAAAGCAUGUAUGACACGAGGAUAUUACUUGACAGAUAUCGGUUGUCGUGUCACUGCUGUCCCGACUUCUAUCCAGCUGGAGAAGGGCAUGGGUUUGCCCUUUAAUUUCCGAGAACAAUUAAAAUACCACUUUUAUAACAUGGUCCUAAGUGGAUAUCUAUAUUUGUGUUGUUUAAUCUGAACGGUAAUAAUGUACUAAGUAUACAACAAUGCUUGUGAAAUUAUCUUGAUUUGGUUUUAUUGAAUAACAUGUUAUUCAUUUCUUGCGCUUUGUACAUGUAGAUGAUCAUGAGAGAAAAGGAAGUGAUCCAUUCAGUCACACGAGACAUUGAACUUAGACAUUGAUCCAUCAUUGUUAUUGUGAUAAUUGACUUUCCCGCAAGAACUGAACGAAAUUCUGUAUUAGUUUUAGUGGUCCGAAACACUAUAUGUUGUAAACAGUGACGCCUGAGUUAUCGAAGAACAAGAAAAACCAAGGCCUCCUUUGUUAUAUACUCAUAAGCUAUACUGCAUGAUACAUGAUAACCCCUGUUCUGAAUGCAUAACGAGACAUUAUAUAAGAAACGAAUUAUGGUC